CAGCCGCCGCGGUAAUACGUAGGGUGCAAGCGUUAAUCGGAAUUACUGGGCGUAAAGCGUGCGCAGGCGGUUUUGUAAGACAGUGGUGAAAUCCCCGGGCUCAAACUGGGAACUGCCAUUGUGACUGCAAGGCUAGAGUGCGGCAGAGGGGGAUGGAAUUCCGCGUGUAGCAGUGAAAUGCGUAGAUAUGCGGAGGAACACCGAUGGCGAAGGCAAUCCCCUGGGCCUGCACUGACGCUCAUGCACGAAAGCGUGGGGAGCAAACAGGAUUAGAUACCCUGGUAGUCCACGCCCUAAACGAUGUCAACUGGUUGUUGGGUCUUAACUGACUCAGUAACGAAGCUAACGCGUGAAGUUGACCGCCUGGGGAGUACGGCCGCAAGGUUGAAACUUAAAGGAAUUGGCGGG
RNAcentral lists this ribosomal RNA (408 nucleotides) under uncultured microorganism. RNAcentral describes it as "bacterial SSU rRNA". It matches the Rfam family "Bacterial small subunit ribosomal RNA", at positions 509 to 917 of the family's 1533-position model. The record is from RNAcentral.